Molecule: long non-coding RNA, 1275 nt
Filed under: Anas platyrhynchos platyrhynchos (common mallard)
Lineage: Eukaryota; Metazoa; Chordata; Aves; Anseriformes; Anatidae
Description: lncRNA (ENSAPLG00000026670.1)
Source: RNAcentral
GAAUUUCCAGAGCAGAUCAAAUAGUCCAGCGCUAAACACGGUUAGAAAAGAUAUAGACCAAAGAUCUUCUAACAGUGUAAAGCUGUGCUUGGCAGAAUGAGAAAACAUAUGGGUAGUUGUGAUGCAACAAAUAAUGAUGCAAUGUAUUUAGGAGUUCCAGGACCUCUGUUCACAUAGGCAUUGACUACAUGCUGACAAUGAAAAGCCACAGAUAGGUUCUUUGAUAGAACCACUGAUAAGCUUAAGACUAAAUAGAUGUAGGAAAGGAAAUUCUUGCUUUACGAAGCAUAUAUUCUCCACAGGUGUUCUCUUAGCUGUGUCAGACCUGAUUUAAAGAAACUGCUUCUGUGACUGAAGAUCUGAGACAGUUGUCUCUGAGUUAGUUUGGAUUCCUUUCAUAAUCCAUGGAAAGGGUGGUGUUUAUAGGCUGUGAUUGUUCUGAUCUCUCUUUGAUACCUACCCCAGGAUGAGAUGAACUUAAUAAAUACUUCUCUUUCUCUCUAGGAGCUGUGAAGUCAUAGACAAGUAGCAGAGAUGGAGAAGUCCCACCAGUAGUUUUAAGUUCAGUUCCUCUCCCACCUCCCAUUAAGCAGCAAAGCUCUUCUUACUCCUGGUGUGCUGCAAGGAACUGUGUUGCCUGCUGUGGUUAUGAAUCAAAGUUCUGCUCCAAAUCAGGCCAUUUAAUACGCCUGGGAUGUGGGUACCACUGCAAUAGUCCCAAGAAACGCUCAUUUCAGUGUGGAAAAAAAUGCUGGACUUGUUGGCUGUCCCCAAUCCAGGUGAAGAGCUCUGCAGAAAUUACCUGAGGACUGAAUAUGGCACUUUUGCCAAAUUAUGAGGACUCGGCCAGGAGAUUGUGCCAUCCUGGGCGGAUGGAGGAAGGGGGAAGAGCACGAUGCCAUCCAUAGCCAUUACUUACUGGCAGGAGGAGGAGCUGGCCCUUCAUUACACUUAAAAUGGAGUUUGAUUCCUGGUAGUGGGUCAGUGGUGAUUAUACUGCUCAGAUAAAUGCAGGAAAGGAAGGACUGCCCAUCUGGGCUGACCAUGUGUGAGACACACAGCCCGACAGUGCAAAUGUUCAGGUAGGUGGAGCUGGUGGACUUCACCUGGCACUGGUGAGACUGGGUCAAACGUGAUGGGUGCUUCACAUGGUAAGAUGGGGGCUUAUUGUCCACAGGCUGGGUUCAGGGAAAAACUUUCGUGUGAGGAGAAACUGAAGAGUCUGGCCCAGCUAAUAAGUGGAAUAAUUAAUAAAGGAAAUAUAAUAGUGUAUCA